UUUCCGUAGGUGAACCUGCGGAAGGAUCAUUAAAACACGAUUUCCAAUCGUAUUAACCAACCGCGCACUCGUUUCGUUUUCUAACUGCAUCAGAGCUAAACAGGAUGAGAGUUGAGACAGCGUAGCCCUCGAGCUUGCUCUCAUUCCCGCCGAGACCUCUUCGGAGCGUCGAGGAAGCUCUGUUACAGUACGCUGUUGCGCUCACAGAGCCGCAAGGCUUUGUUGGGUCGCUGAUAUUUCUAUUUACCCUUCUUUACAAGUUGUACUAAAAUGUUUCAUUUGGUGUACGAAACAAAAGAACAACUCUUAGCAACGGAUAUCUAGGCUCUC
Molecule: unclassified non-coding RNA, 330 nt
Filed under: soil metagenome
Description: partial contains small subunit ribosomal RNA, internal transcribed spacer 1, and 5.8S ribosomal RNA
Source: RNAcentral